GCAGUCCCCGUUGCUCCGUUCAGAAACCACUCUCUGACGGAUCUUGCACGCUCUGUGGCUUACCGUUCAUCAUCGUCAGUUCCCCGUGGCCGGCUCGGCCUCGCCUCCUCAGGCGACGGCCUGCUCCUCCGCCGGCAACGCCGGGGCAGGGCGCGGCGGACGCGUCGGAAUAGAGUAGAAAAAUUCUGUAGCGUGAGAGAAAUUUGGCGCCACGCCCGCUGGGUCCACCAGCGCCUACGGCCCGGCCCAACUAGCUGGCGACUAAAGAUCACCUGCAGAGCUCUGCCCUUCCUGUCCAGCUUCUUGAAGCUUCCCACCACCAUCGCCUAGCGCGGCGCCGCCGCGGGAGCAUCGAGGCGGUGCCUGCCUGGCCGCAGGGUGACCCCCCACAAGCAAUUCGUCGGCGCCUCACCGGGGCACAGGUUAUUUUUCUUUUCCCCUCUUCCGAGCGCUCCCUAGGGUUUCGUCGGGGAUUUGCUUCGUGGUUCAGCCAUUGGGAUGCCUACUACCUCAUUGUCCACCUGCGAAUUCGGCCCGGGAAUAGCGCGCCGUGUGGGGUGCCAUUAGCCCGUCCGUAUGUGGCAGCGAUGCCUGAUGGAGGCGCGAUCAUCAGUCUGCGAUACGGAAUCUGGAUCAUCUGGCCUUUGACACCUGCUGGUUCCAUGAAUAUUGUACGAGAUCCACAGGUUGCUGGGGGUUUUUUUUUCAUACUGCAACUGUGAGCCAAAAAAAAAAACUCUGUUUACCUUUUCUCGAAUAAUUAAAACUCCGUUUACUGGUUACUUGUUCUCAUGAGCCGGUCGCAAAUUAUAGAAGUUUCUAUCUCGCCGGCACUGCAUUAGAUUAACUCAAACUGUGCGUUCUGUUUAAAUGCUAAUAGCAUAGUCUAUCUGCUGCUUUGUCCCUAACUACCUGCUUGCAGAUAUUUUACAUGCCACACCAGCUUCCCCAAAGAAACUGAGGCAGGUCAUGGUGGCACGACUGUUUGCCACUUGGCGGCAUCAUCGCAUGGUUCAUGUUGCUACUGACGACUUGGGUGCCUGUCAUAGAAGUAAACAAGAAAGACAUCACCGUAUAAGAGAUGGAAUUAAAGAAUGGGCGGUGUGGUUAACCACAAUGACACUGCAAUGGCCGAGGCAUGGCCUUUUGUUUAGCAGUCAGGUGCACCAGGCCACCAGGGAGAGACCAGAGACGUGGCUCCCAUGCCUGAAGAAACAUUCCUGGUGCUUCGUUCACCUGGAGUGCCUUUAAGAACGUUUGACCCGGGCUGUCGCAAUGCUGUAGUAGACUUUGUUGAGUGUUGCUUCGUUCAGGAUUGUUCAGGAUACUUGUAAGAACUUGAUUUGUCACAAUGUAAGGUGAGGGUUUUCAAGUAAUUUUCGUUCUUUACUGCACA
Panicum virgatum (switchgrass) is the source of this 1396-nucleotide long non-coding RNA. RefSeq lists it as uncharacterized. The transcript has 2 exons. The record is from RefSeq and is a predicted model, not a curated record. Lineage: Eukaryota; Viridiplantae; Streptophyta; Magnoliopsida; Poales; Poaceae.